RNAcentral lists this ribosomal RNA (323 nucleotides) under uncultured eukaryote. RNAcentral describes it as "partial 18S ribosomal RNA". It matches the Rfam family "Eukaryotic small subunit ribosomal RNA", at positions 1470 to 1796 of the family's 1831-position model. The record is from RNAcentral.
CCCUUAGAUGUUCUGGGCCGCACGCGCGCUACACUGAAGGGCUCAGCGUGUCUUCCCUUCCCGAGAGGGCCGGGUAACCCGCUGAACCCCCUUCGUGGUAGGGAUCGGGGCUUGCAAUUGUUCCCCGUGAACCAGGAAUGCCCAGUAAGCGCAAGUCAUAAGCUUGCGUUGAUUACGUCCCUGCCCUUUGUACACACCGCCCGUCGCUACUACCGAUUGAGUGAUCCGGUGAAUAAUUCGGACUGCAGCAGUGUUCAGUUCCUGAACGUUGCAGCGGAAAGUUUAGUGAACCUUAUCACUUAGAGGAAGGAGAAGUCGUAACA